GUGGGGAAUCUUGCGCAAUGGGCGAAAGCCUGACGCAGCCAUGCCGCGUGAAUGAUGAAGGUCUUAGGAUUGUAAAAUUCUUUCACCGGGGACGAUAAUGACGGUACCCGGAGAAGAAGCUCCGGCUAACUUCGUGCCAGCAGCCGCGGUAAUACGAAGGGGGCUAGCGUUGCACGGAAUUACUGGGCGUCAAGGGCGCGUAGGCGGACAGCUUAGUCAGAGGUAAAAGCCCAGGGCUCAACCUUGGAAUUGCCUUUGAUACUGGCUGUCUUGAGUUUGGGAGAGGUGAGUGGAACUCCGAGUGUAGAGGUGAGAUUCGUAGAUAUUCGGAAGAACACCAGUGGCGAAGGCGACUCACUGGCCCAAUACUGACGCUGAGGCGCGAAAGCGUGGGGAGCAAACAGGAUUAGAAACCCCAGUAGUCC
RNAcentral lists this ribosomal RNA (425 nucleotides) under uncultured bacterium. RNAcentral's name for it is "bacterial SSU rRNA". It matches the Rfam family "Bacterial small subunit ribosomal RNA", at positions 354 to 796 of the family's 1533-position model. The record is from RNAcentral.